GAUGAACGCUGGCGGCGUGCCUAAUACAUGCAAGUCGAGCGAACAGACGAGGAGCUUGCUCCUCUGACGUUAGCGGCGGACGGGUGAGUAACACGUGGAUAACCUACCUAUAAGACUGGGAUAACUUCGGGAAACCGGAGCUAAUACCGGAUAAUAUAUUGAACCGCAUGGUUCAAUAGUGAAAGACGGUUUUGCUGUCACUUAUAGAUGGAUCCGCGCCGCAUUAGCUAGUUGGUAAGGUAACGGCUUACCAAGGCAACGAUGCGUAGCCGACCUGAGAGGGUGAUCGGGCACACUGGAACUGGGACACGGUCCAGACCCCUACGGGAGGCCGCAGUAGGGAAACCUCCGCAAUGGGCGAAAGCCUGACGGGGCAACGCCGCGUGAGUGAUGAAGGUCUUCGGAUCGUAAAACUCUGUUAUUAGGGAAGAACAAAUGUGUAAGUAACUAUGCACGUCUUGACGGUACCUAAUCAGAAAGCCACGGCUAACUACGUG
RNAcentral lists this ribosomal RNA (497 nucleotides) under uncultured bacterium. Its description in RNAcentral is "partial 16S ribosomal RNA". It matches the Rfam family "Bacterial small subunit ribosomal RNA", at positions 28 to 507 of the family's 1533-position model. The record is from RNAcentral.